Molecule: ribosomal RNA, 253 nt
Filed under: uncultured bacterium
Lineage: Bacteria
Description: partial 16S ribosomal RNA
Rfam family: Bacterial small subunit ribosomal RNA
Source: RNAcentral
UACGAAGGGGGCUAGCGUUGUUCGGAAUUACUGGGCGUAAAGCGCACGUAGGCGGACUAUUAAGUCAGAGGUGAAAUCCCGGGGCUCAACCCCGGAACUGCCUUUGAUACUGGUAGUCUCGAGUCCGGAAGAGGUGAGUGGAAUUCCGAGUGUAGAGGUGAAAUUCGUAGAUAUUCGGAGGAACACCAGUGGCGAAGGCGGCUCACUGGUCCGGUACUGACGCUGAGGUGCGAAAGCUAGGGGAGCAAACAGG